GCGCGGUUGGCGCAGUGGUCAAACGCAUCACACGGCUUGAGACUGUGUGAAGACCCGGGUUCGAAUCCCGGACCGUGCA
RNAcentral lists this transfer RNA (79 nucleotides) under Neurospora terricola FGSC 1889. RNAcentral describes it as "tRNA-Ser (TGA) (tRNA-Ser-TGA-3-1)". It matches the Rfam family "tRNA". From Rfam's summary of the family: Transfer RNA (tRNA) molecules are approximately 80 nucleotides in length. Their secondary structure includes four short double-helical elements and three loops (D, anti-codon, and T loops). The record is from RNAcentral. Lineage: Eukaryota; Fungi; Ascomycota; Sordariomycetes; Sordariales; Sordariaceae.